Molecule: ribosomal RNA, 274 nt
Filed under: uncultured bacterium
Lineage: Bacteria
Description: partial 16S ribosomal RNA
Rfam family: Bacterial small subunit ribosomal RNA
Source: RNAcentral
AUACGGAGGGUGCAAGCGUUAAUCGGAAUUACUGGGCGUAAAGCGUGCGUAGGUGGUUUAUUAAGUCAGAUGUGAAAGCCCCGGGCUUAACCUGGGAACUGCAUUUGAAACUGGUAAACUAGAGUAUGGUAGAGGAAAGUGGAAUUUCUGGUGUAGCGGUGAAAUGCGUAGAUAUCAGAAGGAACAUCAAUGGCGAAGGCAGCUUUCUGGACCAAUACUGACACUGAGGUACGAAAGCGUGGGUAGCAAACAGGAUUAGAUACCCCAGUAGUCC